Molecule: long non-coding RNA, 1128 nt
Filed under: Lynx pardinus (Iberian lynx)
Lineage: Eukaryota; Metazoa; Chordata; Mammalia; Carnivora; Felidae
Source: RNAcentral
GGCGGCGCAGCGGCCGCGCAGCCUUUGUCUCGGGGCCGCGGGGCGGCGGGGCCCGGCGCAGGCGUAAGUGACCGGUGGCCGGGCCGCCGGGGGCUCGGCGGGGAGCGGGCCGGGGGGCGCGGGCGCUCCGGGCGCGGGUGUCGGGCCAGACGGGCGGUGCGGGCGCGCGGGCGGGGAGCCGGGGCCGGUGCGCGCCCCGCGAGGCGGUGCGGGCGGCGGAGCGCGGCGCGCGGGGGGCGCGGGGGGCGCGGGGCUCGGGGCGCCGCAGCCUUGUGCCCGAGGCCGUGCGGCGUGGGUGCAAAUCCUGGCGGCUGUGUUUCUCCGGGCAGAGGCCACGCGGGGACGGAGGAGGCAGAGAGGACAGGCAGUGAUGGAGAAACGGGAGAGGAGCCGGCCAGCGUCACCAUCACCAUCACCGCCACCAUCGCCUCCACCAUCACCAUCACCAUCACCACCAUCACCAUCCCCAUCCCUGCCCGUCGCCCAUCCCAGCUGCCCCGGACCUCCCCUCCCUUCUCAUCUCCCCCCUGUCACGUCAACUUUACCAGAUUAUUUCCUUUUCCUGGGUGAUACUUUGAAACGGCGACAGUGUGCUCCAAAUUAGGAAUAAGUACCUCUGCUGUGGGACAUUCGGGCGCCUCUCCUUUGCCCGUUCGCGACCUCAGUUUUCCCAUCAGGAAAAGGACCACAGGGGUGCUCCGUUCCUCACAGUCAGCCUGUGAUGGCCGGCAAGCUUUCGGUUUUUCUAAUCUGGUGCCGGAAAGGGUUUUAGAGAUUACAUUUUUUCUUUCUCAUAUGGUGAGAGAGAUGUUCAUAUGGUAAAGUGGUAUUUUCACUGGGUUAAAUAACCCGGAGUUUUCAGUUCUCCUCUCCUUUGAUUAUUAAUGGCAAAAUGCCAGUAGCAAAUAGAAGCUAAGGAAAAUGAAACUUCGACUAAAAUCAUACCAAGAAUAGAAGCAAAACAGGUAUGUCUGUAGGAAAAUCACCCCCAAGACGGCCGAACGCAAUGACUUUCGUCUCAAGUGCAGAAAGUGCCCUUUUCGUGGGUAGCGGUUGUAGAUGUCCUUAUUUGGGAUGCAUGUAGUGGCCCCUAAGUGCUUUGCACCCUACCGGAAGAAUGUUUAAAUU